AUGGGGUGCAGCAGGCGAGAAAACUUUGCAAUGAGCGAAAGCACGACAAGGUUAAUCCGAGUGUUUCCUGCUAAAGGAAUCUUUUGUCAGUCAUAACACCACCGACGAAUAAGGGGUGGGCAAGUUCUGGUGUCAGCCGCCGCGGUAAAACCAGCACCUCAAGUGGUCAGGAGGAUUAUUGGGCCUAAAGCAUCCGUAGCCGGCUUUGUAAGUUUUCGGUUAAAUCCAUAUGCUCAACAUAUGGGCUGCCGGGAAUACUGCACAGCUAGGGAGUGGGAGAGGUAGACGGUACUCCAUAGGAAGGGGUAAAAUCCUUUGAUCUGUGGAAGACCACCUGUGACGAAGGCGGUCUACCAGAACACGUUCGACGGUGAGGGAUGAAAGCUGGGGGAGCAAACCGGAUUAGAUACCCGGGUAGUCCCAGCUGUAAACUAUGCAAACUCGGUGAUGCAUUGGCUUGUGGCCAGUGCAGUGCCGCAGGGAAGCCGUUAAGUUUGCCGCCUGGGAAGUACGUACGCAAGUAUGAAACUUAAAGGAAUUGGCGGGGGAGCAC
RNAcentral lists this ribosomal RNA (553 nucleotides) under uncultured crenarchaeote. Its description in RNAcentral is "bacterial SSU rRNA". It matches the Rfam family "Archaeal small subunit ribosomal RNA", at positions 325 to 879 of the family's 1478-position model. Lineage: Archaea; Thermoproteati; Thermoproteota. The record is from RNAcentral.